CAUUACGAAGCGUCCCUUGUCUGUAUUAUUUCUCCUGUUUGACCUUUGCUUGUUUUUGACUCCGUGUUUUGCCUCUCCCAUUUGGACUCUAUUUUCUCGUUUUGGAUCUUUGCUUGUUUUUCUAGUUCAUCUCCUGUUUCGCCACAGAGCCAGGACAUGUGGACGCUUUCUGAUAAGGAGGUAGAAAACCGCAACACAGAGGGAUGGCCGGCCAGUAUCUGCAUCCGUGACUUCAGUGGCUUCCAGCGCAAUUAAUGGCAUGGAGAUUGCUGGACAGCCAUGCUAAUGCCGGAUGCGGAUGCGUUCGUUGGCUAGCCAGGAGUUGAAGAGACACUCGGCAAACUUGCCACUACAUCGAGGAGCAUAAAUACCAGUACAGCAGCUUUAACGAGGACCAACGGACUUACACGUGGCCUUGCAGGGUCUGCAAGUUGUUGGGCACCAAAAAGCUGAAACCAUGUCUUUGAAUCAGGGAACAGGCAAAGGAUGGACUGAUUUAUAG
Long non-coding RNA from Pygocentrus nattereri (red-bellied piranha), 502 nucleotides. RefSeq lists it as uncharacterized. The transcript has 3 exons. Lineage: Eukaryota; Metazoa; Chordata; Actinopteri; Characiformes; Serrasalmidae. The record is from RefSeq and is a predicted model, not a curated record.